UAGUUGCAGUGUAAAGACUUUUCUACUCA
RNAcentral lists this non-coding RNA (29 nucleotides) under Rattus norvegicus (Norway rat). Lineage: Eukaryota; Metazoa; Chordata; Mammalia; Rodentia; Muridae. The record is from RNAcentral.